This 72-nucleotide transfer RNA is filed under the name Ovis aries (sheep). It matches the Rfam family "tRNA". Rfam says of the family: Transfer RNA (tRNA) molecules are approximately 80 nucleotides in length. Their secondary structure includes four short double-helical elements and three loops (D, anti-codon, and T loops). Further hydrogen bonds mediate the characteristic L-shaped molecular structure. tRNAs have two regions of fundamental functional importance: the anti-codon, which is responsible for specific mRNA codon recognition, and the 3' end, to which the tRNAs corresponding amino acid is attached (by aminoacyl-tRNA synthetases). tRNAs cope with the degeneracy of the genetic code in two manners: having more than one tRNA (with a specific anti-codon) for a particular amino acid; and 'wobble' base-pairing, i.e. permitting non-standard base-pairing at the 3rd anti-codon position. The record is from Rfam by way of RNAcentral. Lineage: Eukaryota; Metazoa; Chordata; Mammalia; Artiodactyla; Bovidae.
UCCCGGGUGGUUCAGACAGUAAAGAAUCCACCUGCAAUGCAGGAAACCCAGGUUCGACCCCUGGCUUGGGAA